UACGAAGGGGGCUAGCGUUGCUCGGAAUCACUGGGCGUAAAGCGCACGUAGGCGGCUUUUUAAGUCAGGGGUGAAAUCCUGGAGCUCAACUCCAGAACUGCCUUUGAUACUGGGAAGCUUGAGUCCGGGAGAGGUGAGUGGAACUCCUAGUGUAGAGGUGGAAUUCGUAGAUAUUAGGAAGAACACCAGUGGCGAAGGCGGCUCACUGGUCCGGUACUGACGCUGAGGUGCGAAAGCGUGGGGAGCAAACAGG
This 253-nucleotide ribosomal RNA is filed under the name uncultured bacterium. Its description in RNAcentral is "partial 16S ribosomal RNA". It matches the Rfam family "Bacterial small subunit ribosomal RNA", at positions 524 to 776 of the family's 1533-position model. The record is from RNAcentral.